Molecule: ribosomal RNA, 486 nt
Filed under: uncultured bacterium
Lineage: Bacteria
Description: partial 16S ribosomal RNA
Rfam family: Bacterial small subunit ribosomal RNA
Source: RNAcentral
AUUGAACGCUGGCGGCAUGCCUUACACAUGCAAGUCGAACGGCAGCACGGGUGCUUGCACCUGGUGGCGAGUGGCGAACGGGUGAGUAAUACAUCGGAACAUGUCCUGUAGUGGGGGAUAGCCCGGCGAAAGCCGGAUUAAUACCGCAUACGAUCCACGGAUGAAAGCGGGGGACCUUCGGGCCUCGCGCUAUAGGGUUGGCCGAUGGCUGAUUAGCUAGUUGGUGGGGUAAAGGCCUACCAAGGCGACGAUCAGUAGCUGGUCUGAGAGGACGACCAGCCACACUGGGACUGAGACACGGCCCAGACUCCUACGGGAGGCAGCAGUGGGGAAUUUUGGACAAUGGGCGAAAGUCUGAUCCAGCAAUGCCGCGUGUGUGAAGAAGGCCUUCGGGUUGUAAAGCACUUUUGUCCGGAAAGAAAUCCUUGACUCUAAUACAGUCGGGGGAUGACGGUACCGGAAGAAUAAGCACCGGCUAACUACGUG